UACAUGUGGGGCAAGCGUUGUUCGGAAUUACUGGGCAUAAAGGGUGCGUAGGCGGUUUGUUAAGUCACUGGUGAAAGUUUUCGGCCCAACCGGAAAAUUGCCUGUGAUACUGGCGAACUUGAGUGCGUGAGGGGUGGGGGGAACGAGCAGUGUAGCGGUGAAAUGCGUAGAUAUUGCCCGGAAGGCCGGAGCCGAAGGGGCCCCACUGGUACGCAACUGACGCUGAGGCACGAAAGCGUGGGGAGCAAACAGG
RNAcentral lists this ribosomal RNA (253 nucleotides) under uncultured bacterium. Its description in RNAcentral is "partial 16S ribosomal RNA". It matches the Rfam family "Bacterial small subunit ribosomal RNA", at positions 524 to 776 of the family's 1533-position model. The record is from RNAcentral.